Molecule: ribosomal RNA, 939 nt
Filed under: Weissella confusa
Lineage: Bacteria; Bacillati; Bacillota; Bacilli; Lactobacillales; Lactobacillaceae
Description: bacterial SSU rRNA
Rfam family: Bacterial small subunit ribosomal RNA
Source: RNAcentral
UUCCUUCUUAGCAAGGGAUUACAUUGGAAACAGAUGCUUAAUACCGUAUAACAAAUGCCACCCGCAUGGUUGUUAUUUUAAAAAGAUGGUUCUGCUAUCAAUAAGAGAUGGUCCCCGCGGGUACAUUAGCUUAGUUGGUAAGGGUAAUGGCUUUCCAAAGGCGAAUGGAUGCAUAGCCGAGUUGAGAGACUGAUCGGCCACAAAUGGGAUUGAGACACGGGCCCCAUACUCCUACGGGGAGGCAGCAAGUUAGGGAAUCUUCCACAAUGGGCGAAAGCCUGAUGGGAGCAACGCCGCGUGUGUGAUGAAGGGUUUCGGCUCGUAAAACACUGUUGUAAAGAGAAGAAUGACAUUUGAGAGUAACUGUUCAAUGUGUGACGGUAUCUUACCAGAAAGGAACGGCUAAAUACGUGCCAGCAGCCGCGGUAAUACGUAUGUUCCAAGCGUUAUCCGGAUUUAUUGGGCGUAAAGCGAGCGCAGACGGUUAUUUAAGUCUGAAGUGAAAGCCCUCAGCUCAACUGAGGAAUUGCUUUGGAAACUGGAUGACUUGAGUGCAGUAGAGGAAAGUGGAACUCCAUGUGUAGCGGUGAAAUGCGUAGAUAUAUGGAAGAACACCAGUGGCGAAGGCGGCUUUCUGGACUGUAACUGACGUUGAGGCUCGAAAGUGUGGGUAGCAAACAGGAUUAGAUACCCUGGUAGUCCACACCGUAAACGAUGAGUGCUAGGUGUUUGAGGGUUUCCGCCCUUAAGUGCCGCAGCUAACGCAUUAAGCACUCCGCCUGGGGAGUACGACCGCAAGGUUGAAACUCAAAGGAAUGGACGGGGACCCGCACAAGCGGUGGAGCAUGUGGUUUAAUUCGGAGCAACGCGAAGAACCCUUUACCCAGGUCUUGACAUCCCUUGACAACUCCCAGAGGAUGGAGCCGUCUCCUUUGGGGG